AGAAACUUAACAUUCAGCAGCUGCACAGGUAAGAGCCGAGCGGCUUCCUGUUGCUGGUAGUGACUCUUCAAUAGCGUCUGCGACAUCUUUGCUAGUAAACAGCAUUGAAUUGCUUCUGGAAACACCUUUUCAAAGGAUGACUCUGAAAGAAAAGCUUGGAAUGAAACACCUGGAGCCUGAUAGAGUGGAAAUAAUCAUCCAGCAAGUGUUCGAAGCACAGAUGGGACAUAGAAAAAAGAAGUUUGUGUGGAUACCCGGUUUGGAAUAGGCUACUUUUUUUUUUUAAUGGGCCCUCAACUGGUUGGACUGAUCUGUGGUCAGAAACAGCAUUGGCGCAUUGGGCAGAAGCGGUGGAGGAGCGAGAUGGGAGCAAUGGAUUUGUUGUCACACCGCCAUCACCUUUCAGCCCCUUGACACUGAGAGUAAGCUUUGUCUUGCCACUGCAUGCACUGACUGGACAUGGGUUGAUGUGUAUGUGCGUGCUGAUCCACUGACCAUCAGGUUUGAAGAGGGUGGAGGGGCUGGCUACAGUUCUGAGUGAUGAGUGUUGUUUUUGUUUUGAUUCAUUUCUCCCGUUGCUCCUGAUGGUCAGCCCGGACGCUCCUCAGUAUCUAUGAAUUCAUCUUCAAAGAAAGGAG
Centropristis striata (black sea bass) is the source of this 638-nucleotide long non-coding RNA. RefSeq lists it as uncharacterized. The record is from RefSeq and is a predicted model, not a curated record. NCBI's taxonomy places the organism in Eukaryota, Metazoa, Chordata, Actinopteri, Perciformes, Serranidae. The transcript has 3 exons.